GACGAACGCUGGCGGCGUGCUUAACACAUGCAAGUCGAACGGAAAGGCCCUGCUUUUGUGGGGUGCUCGAGUGGCGAACGGGUGAGUAACACGUGAGUAACCUGCCCUUGACUUUGGGAUAACUUCAGGAAACUGGGGCUAAUACCGGAUAGGAGCUCCUGCUGCAUCGUGGGGGUUGGAAAGUUUCGGCGGUUGGGGAUGGACUCGCGGCUUAUCAGCUUGUUGGUGGGGUAGUGGCUUACCAAGGCUUUGACGGGUAGCCGGCCUGAGAGGGUGACCGGCCACAUUGGGACUGAGAUACGGCCCAGACUCCUACGGGAGGCAGCAGUGGGGAAUAUUGCACAAUGGGCGGAAGCCUGAUGCAGCAACGCCGCGUGCGGGAUGACGGCCUUCGGGUUGUAAACCGCUAUCGCCUGUGACGAAGCGUGAGUGACGGUAAUGGGUAAAGAAGCACCGGCUAACUACGUG
This 468-nucleotide ribosomal RNA is filed under the name uncultured bacterium. Its description in RNAcentral is "partial 16S ribosomal RNA". It matches the Rfam family "Bacterial small subunit ribosomal RNA", at positions 28 to 507 of the family's 1533-position model. The record is from RNAcentral.